GAAAUAGUAUGACUUUGUGAAAAAACGCAUACAGAUUUUACUGCUGAUGUAGAACCAGAUUUUAAGAUGAAAAUCCUCACUGAAUAAGUAUUCAAAACUUUUCUCCUAACUGUUAUUCCUAUAGCAUAGGUAUAUUCACAGUCCUUUAAUAAAAGCUUUUUCUUCAUAUAAAUUCUUAGGCUACAGAGUAACAAUAUGUAUUGAUUGAACUGAACGUUUCCUCAGAGGGCACAUCAAGAUUACUGUUAAGAUUUCAGAUGAGGAAUUGCAUUUGUGAAGGUGAUGUUUCAACUGUACUUCCUUAGUAUCACACCAUGGAGCAUGCGAAUAGGAUUUCUUUGUGUGAAGAACCAGGAGAAUCUUGAUGCCUUUAUUUUGAACCUCACAGCAAACUAAUGUUAUUUCUGAAGCUGGGUGUGUUGAAGUGUUCAAGUCCAGGGACAGUCCAAUGCCAUCAAAUGGGAAUGGAAGAAUUAAUCAUUGAACCAGGAAAAGCAAUGUGAUUUUGCUGCCAAAAAUCUGGUAGGAUAUCACAAGAAAAAGUAAAGCAAAAUAUAAGUUUUUAAAUAUUUUGGUUUUCA
This 581-nucleotide long non-coding RNA is filed under the name Coturnix japonica (Japanese quail). Its description in RNAcentral is "lncRNA (ENSCJPG00005013446.1)". Lineage: Eukaryota; Metazoa; Chordata; Aves; Galliformes; Phasianidae. The record is from RNAcentral.